GUCCACGCCCUAAACGAUGCAUAUUUGGUGUGGGUCAUUCAGUUGAUCCGUGCCGGAGCUAACGCGUUAAAUAUGCCGCCUGGGGAGUACAGUCGCAAGGCUGAAACUCAAAGGAAUUGACGGGGGCCCCGCACAAGCGGUGGAGCAUGUGGUUCAAUUCGACGCAACGCGAAGAACCUUACCUGGGCUCGAACGGCUGGUUAACGGCUUUGGAAACAGAGCUACUCCGCAAGGAGGUCCAGUCGAGGUGCUGCAUGGCUGUCGU
This 265-nucleotide ribosomal RNA is filed under the name uncultured bacterium. RNAcentral's name for it is "partial 16S ribosomal RNA". It matches the Rfam family "Bacterial small subunit ribosomal RNA", at positions 793 to 1055 of the family's 1533-position model. The record is from RNAcentral.